CGAGGAAUAUUGGUCAAUGGGCGGAAGCCUGAACCAGCCAUCCCGCGUGCAGGAAGACAGCCCUAUGGGUUGUAAACUGCUUUUUCAGUGGGCGAAACACUCGUACGUGUACGAGAUUGACGGUACACUGGGAAUAAGCAUCGGCUAACUCCGUGCCAGCAGCCGCGGUAAUACGGAGGAUGCAAGCGUUAUCCGGAUUUAUUGGGUUUAAAGGGUGCGUAGGCGGAUGAAUAAGUCAGUGGUGAAAGGCUGCAGCUUAACUGUAGACUUGCCGUUGAUACUGUUUAUCUUGAGUAUGGUCAAGGCAGGCGGAAUGUGUAAUGUAGCGGUGUAAUGCUUAGAUAUUACACAGAACACCGAUAGCGAAGGCAGCGUGCUGGGCCAUUACUGACGCUGAGGGACGAAAGCGUGGGGAGCGGACAG
Molecule: ribosomal RNA, 423 nt
Filed under: uncultured bacterium
Lineage: Bacteria
Description: bacterial SSU rRNA
Rfam family: Bacterial small subunit ribosomal RNA
Source: RNAcentral